UGGCAUUUGUGUGAAAAUGCAGUGUGCA
This 28-nucleotide non-coding RNA is filed under the name Homo sapiens (human). Lineage: Eukaryota; Metazoa; Chordata; Mammalia; Primates; Hominidae. The record is from RNAcentral.